GUCGUCGUGGUGUAGUUGGU
Molecule: unclassified non-coding RNA, 20 nt
Filed under: Chlamydomonas reinhardtii
Lineage: Eukaryota; Viridiplantae; Chlorophyta; Chlorophyceae; Chlamydomonadales; Chlamydomonadaceae
Description: small RNA Cre_2019
Source: RNAcentral